CAGCAGCCGCGGGAAUACGGAGGGUGCAAGCGUUAAUCGGAAUUACUGGGCGUAAAGCGCACGCAGGCGGUCUGACAAGUCAGAUGUGAAAUCCCCGGGCUUAACCUGGGAACUGCAUUUGAAACUGUCAGGCUGGAGUCUUGUAGAGGGGGGUAGAAUUCCAGGCGUAGCGGUGAAAUGCGUAGAGAUCUGGAGGAAUACCGGUGGCGUAGGCGGCCCCCUGGACAAAGACUGACGCUCAGGUGCGAAAGCGUGGGGAGCAAACAGGAUUAGAUACCCGUGUAGUCCCUGUCUCUUAUAC
This 301-nucleotide ribosomal RNA is filed under the name uncultured bacterium. Its description in RNAcentral is "partial 16S ribosomal RNA". It matches the Rfam family "Bacterial small subunit ribosomal RNA", at positions 509 to 807 of the family's 1533-position model. The record is from RNAcentral.